This is a long non-coding RNA of Polistes dominula (European paper wasp), 1403 nucleotides long. NCBI's taxonomy places the organism in Eukaryota, Metazoa, Arthropoda, Insecta, Hymenoptera, Vespidae. The record is from RefSeq and is a predicted model, not a curated record.
CUCAUCUGGAAGCACAGAGGAACGAACGCUAGCGAAAGCGGAAAUUGAGAAAAACGCGUGCUACGAGGAAACAUCGUUAAUAACGACCCCGUUUCUCUCUGCCAGCAUGACUAUCGGUAUUGCAAUCGAACUUUCGUUCGUCUCUACUCACAGCAGAGAUGUCCAAACGGAGAAUACUCGGCUGAUUGCACUAACGUUGAGGCAAUUUCCUACGAUUACUGGCGGCAAACGAACGGAUUGAAAUCAAAGGUGUACUCCGAUCAGUUGUGCCGGAGAUAGCAACGGACCUACAAAUACGACGACGACACAAUGGCCUGCGAAAUACAGCAUGGAGACGGUCACUCACCUCUAAGGUACCAUUGUUCCGUAGGAGAAAUAGCGAGAAGCAGGUUAGAAGAACCAGCCCCGCCUUUUCACCCUUCUCUCUUUCGACAAGUUCAGUUCACCGACCCACGUGCGUUACCGUAGUCGGUGAUCCCCGUUCGUAUAAAAGCUCACUUAGCAUCAGCUUGCGCGACAAUGUCCCGUCGCGAUGCUCGAUGGAAAGUUGCACUGAUGUUGAUCGAUCGAAAGAGAGAGAGAGAGAGAGAGAGAGAAUGAGAGAAAGAGAGUUAGAGAUUGGUUGCUCACACAAAUCGAACGAACGGAUCCUGAUGCUAGUAGAAACGGGUGGUCCACAAGAUGAAAGCUGGAAAGCCCAGUAGUUGAACGAGCUUUUCCGGACACUCGACUGUUCGACCCUCUUUCAAAUUCCUCGUUAAGGGAAAAAAGCUUCACUUCUUCCGGGCUCGUCGUCAUUAUACGAAGAAAAUGAUGAUUGACGAAGAUUGUGGAUGGAUAGACGAUGAUCUAGGACAACGAUAGAAAAACAUCGGCCACGGUUAUUACAUGCCACGCCUUUCCUUCUACCACGUUUUCACGCUCUACGACAACGGACAGAUGGAAAACAAUCGCGCUAACUUUCUUCAUUUUAUGUCUCGAGUCUCGAGGAACAAUCAUGAGGAAUGCCGUCUUGAAUAACACACGGUAGCCAAAGCCGAGGAUCUAUCCGUAUCUCGUGACACGUUUCUAACUCUGACCUGUGUUACGUGACGUUUUGAGUAAUUUAUUGUAACGUCAAGGUAAAUUUAUAAUAUAUAUCAUUCUAUGCGGAUGUUUAGAAGGAAACAAAUGAAAGAACAAAAUUCAACUUAGAUAUUUUGCACCACUGUCUACCUCAUAUUCUUUUAAGGAUACAUUAACACACACACACACACACACACAUACGUUUUUUAUUUCUAUUUAUUGAAAUGUUAUAAUUUUACAAUCAUGUGUGAUCUAUAUAUAUAUAUUGAUGUAUGUUUUAACUUUAUAGAUUAUAAGAUAUCGUUAAUAAAUAUAUUACAAUGAAGCAAAGAGGAGAA